RNAcentral lists this long non-coding RNA (650 nucleotides) under Homo sapiens (human). RNAcentral's name for it is "presequence translocase associated motor 16 (ENSG00000282228.1)". Lineage: Eukaryota; Metazoa; Chordata; Mammalia; Primates; Hominidae. The record is from RNAcentral.
AGUCGGAGUUUGAGCCCCGGAGGCAGAGCGGCUGCCAUGGCCAAGUACCUGGCCCAGAUCAUUGUGAUGGGCGUGCAGGUGGUGGGCAGGGCCUUUGCACGGGCCUUGCGGCAGGAGUUUGCAGCCUCUACCCCCUAAAAAGGAAACCACUCCUGGAGAAGAGGCAGCUCCUAGCCACCUGUCCCUGUGUCUCUCAUCCUGUGCUGGUGGCAGGGGUGAGCCACCAACUCGGAAGGCCCAGGGUGAAGUGUGGGCUGCUGAGGACUGAGCGAUCACCCACAUGUCCACACAGCCAGCCGGGCCGCAGCUGAUGCCCGAGGACGCGCUGGACACCGGUCUGCAGCCGCUUCCAACCUCUCCGGCCUCAGCCUCCAGGAGGCACAGCAGAUUCUCAACGUGUCCAAGCUGAGCCCUGAGGAGGUCCAGAAGAACUAUGAACACUUAUUUAAGGUGAAUGAUAAAUCCGUGGGUGGCUCCUUCUACCUGCAGUCAAAGGUGGUCCGCGCAAAGGAGCGCCUGGAUGAGGAACUCAAAAUCCAGGCCCAGGAGGACAGAGAAAAAGGGCAGAUGCCCCAUACGUGACUGCUCGGCUCCCCCCGCCCACCCCGCCGCCUCUAAUUUAUAGCUUGGUAAUAAAUUUCUUUUCUGCA